AUGUGCACGGGUGGAGUAUAUAGGCAUAUAGAAAAAAAAAGCGAGACAUGGAGAACGUCGCUGACAUAACAACCCUACAAAAUAUCCUCCAACAAUGAGCAGAAACCUAUAAACAUUCCUCCAAAACUUCAAAUUCGCUGACGAAAGCAAAGUAUAUACUGAUUAGAUUGUGUUCAGAUUAGUAUUGAUUUGUUUAAACCAUACAUACGUGCCUCUGUAUCCCCGGACACAACGUUGUUCCCC
This 243-nucleotide long non-coding RNA is filed under the name Mytilus galloprovincialis (Mediterranean mussel). The record is from RNAcentral. Lineage: Eukaryota; Metazoa; Mollusca; Bivalvia; Mytilida; Mytilidae.